This 428-nucleotide ribosomal RNA is filed under the name uncultured bacterium. RNAcentral describes it as "partial 16S ribosomal RNA". It matches the Rfam family "Bacterial small subunit ribosomal RNA", at positions 354 to 796 of the family's 1533-position model. The record is from RNAcentral.
GUGGGGAAUAUUGGGCAAUGGGCGCAAGCCUGACCCAGCAACGCCGCGUGAAGGAAGAAGGCUUUCGGGUUGUAAACUUCUUUUAUGAGGGACGAAGAAAAUGACGGUACCUCAUGAAUAAGCCACGGCUAACUACGUGCCAGCAGCCGCGGUAAUACGUAGGUGGCAAGCGUUAUCCGGAUUUACUGGGUGUAAAGGGCGUGUAGGCGGGACUGCAAGUCAGAUGUGAAAUUCCAGGGCUCAACCCUGGACCUGCAUUUGAAACUGUGGUUCUUGAGUGAUGGAGAGGCAGGCGGAAUUCCCUGUGUAGCGGUGAAAUGCGUAGAUAUAGGGAGGAACACCAGUGGCGAAGGCGGCCUGCUGGACAUUAACUGACGCUGAGGCGCGAAAGCGUGGGGAGCAAACAGGAUUAGAAACCCCUGUAGUCC